Molecule: ribosomal RNA, 460 nt
Filed under: uncultured bacterium
Lineage: Bacteria
Description: partial 16S ribosomal RNA
Rfam family: Bacterial small subunit ribosomal RNA
Source: RNAcentral
CCUACGUGAGGCAGCAGUGAGGAAUAUUGGUCAAUGGACGUAAGUCUGAACCAGCCAAGUCGCGUGCAGGAAGACGGCUCUAUGAUUUGUAAACUUCUUUUGUACGGGGGUAAAGGUAGCUACGUGUAGAUGUUUGCAUGUACCGUAUGAAUAAGCAUCGGCUAACUCCGUGCCAGCAGCCGCGGUAAUACGGAGGAUGCGAGCGUUAUCCGGAUUUAUUGGGUUUAAAGGGUGCGUAGGCGGUUGUUUAAGUCAGCGGUGAAAUUUUGGGGCUCAACCACAGAAUUGCCUUUGAUACGGGUCGACUAGAGAGUGGUUGCGGUAGGCGGAAUGUAUGGUGUAGCGGUGAAAUGCAUAGAGAUCAUGCAGAACUCCGAUUGCGAAGGCAGCUUACCAAGCUACAUCUGACGUUGAAGCACGAAAGCGUGGGGAGCAAACAGGAUUAGAUACCCGAGUAGUC